GACGAACGCUGGCGGCGUGCUUAACACAUGCAAGUCGAACGAAGAGCGAUGGAAGCUUGCUUCUAUCAAUCUUAGUGGCGCACGGGUGAGUAACGCGUAAUCAACCUGCCCUUCAGAGGGGGACAACAGUUGGAACCGACUGCUAAUACCGCAUCCGAUCUAAUCUCGGCAUCGAGGAUAGAUGAAAGGUGGCCUCUACAUGUAAGCUAUCACUGAAGGAGGGGAUUGCGUCUGAUUAGCUAGUUGGAGGGGUAACGGCCCACCAAGGCGAUGAUCAGUAGCCGGUCUGAGAGGAUGAACGGCCACAUUGGGACUGAGACACGGCCCAGACUCCUACGGGAGGCAGCAGUGGGGAAUCUUCCGCAAUGGACGAAAGUCUGACGGAGCAACGCCGCGUGAGUGAUGACGGCCUUCGGGUUGUAAAGCUCUGUUAAUCGGGACGAAAGGCCUUCUUGCGAAUAGUGAGAAGGAUUGACGGUACCGGAAUAGAAAGCCACGGCUAACUACGUG
RNAcentral lists this ribosomal RNA (510 nucleotides) under uncultured bacterium. Its description in RNAcentral is "partial 16S ribosomal RNA". It matches the Rfam family "Bacterial small subunit ribosomal RNA", at positions 28 to 507 of the family's 1533-position model. The record is from RNAcentral.